This 378-nucleotide ribosomal RNA is filed under the name uncultured bacterium. RNAcentral's name for it is "bacterial SSU rRNA". It matches the Rfam family "Bacterial small subunit ribosomal RNA", at positions 521 to 896 of the family's 1533-position model. The record is from RNAcentral.
UAAUACGUAGGGUGCGAGCGUUGUCCGGAUUUAUUGGGCGUAAAGAGCUUGUAGGCGGCUCGUCACGUCGGGUGUGAAAACUCGCGGCUCAACCGCGAGCCUGCACCCGAUACGGGCGAGCUAGAGUUCGGCAGGGGAGACUGGAAUUCCUGGUGUAGCGGUGGAAUGCGCAGAUAUCAGGAGGAACACCGGUGGCGAAGGCGGGUCUCUGGGCCGAUACUGACGCUGAGAAGCGAAAGCGUGGGGAGCGAACAGGAUUAGAUACCCUGGUAGUCCACGCCGUAAACGUUGGGAACUAGGUGUGGGGCCCAUUCCACGGGCUCUGUGCCGCAGCUAACGCAUUAAGUUCCCCGCCUGGGGAGUACGGCCGCAAGGCUA